RNAcentral lists this non-coding RNA (255 nucleotides) under Fukomys damarensis (Damara mole-rat). Its description in RNAcentral is "bip internal ribosome entry site (IRES)". It matches the Rfam family "bip internal ribosome entry site (IRES)". From Rfam's summary of the family: This family represents the bip internal ribosome entry site (IRES). BiP protein expression has been found to be significantly enhanced by the heat shock response due to IRES-dependent translation. Lineage: Eukaryota; Metazoa; Chordata; Mammalia; Rodentia; Bathyergidae. The record is from Rfam by way of RNAcentral.
CACCGGUGGAGACAACACAGGAAGUUUCAGUCGGUUGUACGCCAGUGUGAGCGGUAAGCCCCGCGGCCUGCUUUUCCGGGCCUGUCCUUCGUCUUCUUCGCCGUCUGGCCUCUCCUGACCCCGGUCUUCUGUCGCUCUCAGAUCAGUUACUGCUCUGGUUCUGCGGCCGGUUGCUUGAUUGUACCACUUCUGCUGAUUGCACCGGCCUACGGCGCCGCCAAGAUGAAGCUGUGUCUGGUGGCUGCGGUGCUUCUG